ACGGCUGUCAACUGCGAAAGAUGCCUCAGGGCACACAAAAAAAAGAGGCCACCGAGCCCCAGUCCGUGACCAUUGCACCACAACGAUAUUUGUGUGCGGGCACGGACGAACAAAAUAUGCAGUGAAAAGAUCUUCUCCUCUCACUCCGAGAGUUGAGAUGCACAGCCGUAAAAAAAAGGAAUAUUUAAUAAAAAUAAGCGCCCAGCAAAAUAGGGCGCGGUUGUAUCUCCCGUGGUGGCGUGUGCUAGACAUUAGCACACUGAGCUCUUUUUUUUGGUCAAUACUUUGUUUAUUAAUGCCAGACAAAUUUUGUUGUACCUAGAAGUUGCCUCUAUUACCCACAGACCACAUAAAGGUUGUUGUGGUCUGCACAUGAUCUGCAUUUUUUCCAUAAUGUUUCUUGUUCCCCCAAUAAAUUUAUUCUUAAGGAUUUGUAGCUAUGUACAUUUAGCUUUCUGUAUGUUCAUCGAUCUUUUUCAAAAUCAAUUACAGUUGAAUACAGUAGUUGAUAACAAUGAAAAGUACCACUUCAGUCAGCUGCACCCAUAUCGCUGCAUUGCAUUGCUGAUUGUCUUGUCUGCAAAGAAUUCCAGCCACCUUUGGUGCAGGGGCUGCCAAACUGGUCACUAAAGUCAGUUGCAGUACUGGAAAUAUUAUAGUAGCCGUCUGCUAUCCAUUCCCUUUUUCAUCAUUAAGGAACUAUCCAUUCCCUUUUUCAUCAUUAAGGAAAAGCAUGAUCGUUGAUUCAUUUGUGUUCUCAGUUUUUCUUUUCUGGAAGAGCUGGUAAUGUGGCUUCCAGGGAAAACAGAACUUCAGUGAAGGGUAAAUGUGGAAGAACAAAAAAACCAAAGUUCAGCUAGGCGCUAGGCGCUAUCUAGGCGAUGACCGUCCGACUAGGGACUAGGCGCGCCUAAUCCAGCCUAGGCCUUUCUAGGCGAUUUGCUAGGCGUUUUGCCAAUUUACUUAAUAAUAUAUAUAUAUACUAAUAUAUAUAUACAGCAGAAAUUGCUGAAUAAAUAAGUUAUAUACUGGUAUAUACUUGCUGAAUGUAUAUAGAAGAGAGGGUAGUAGACAUACCUUUGUGGCUUAGGUUCAAUAAUCAGUAGACAGGUUGUUCUUAGUCCUACAACAAGGAUUGACAGCUUGCAAAACUCAAUAGACAACAAGUAGUUCAUCAAAUAAAUAGAAAAUAGGAAGUUGUUACUUAUCUGAUCACCAGCCAUCCUCCAUCCAUUCAAUGAACAAACCGUAGCAGACUAGCAGACCAGCAACAACUAGUAAUUGCAAAUUUUAAAUCACAGACAAGUGCACAACACAAUUGAUAAAUAAAGGUCUUGUUCAAACAACACAUAGUUCUCAGAAAGAAGAAAAACAGUCACACAGGCACACAACAGCAGCAGUUCACAAGUUUAACACACACAUAAAUGCAUGAAUGCACCACAAAAGAUAAGCCAUGACAUGAGAAAAGGCCCAGGACCAUUCAAUCUUCCUUCUUCAAUAGGGCUCCAAAUAGUCAUCCUCAUCCUCAUCAAACUCUUCCUUGUCAGAUUCAAACUCUUCUCCUUCAUAAAGCUCUCUCACUCUAGCACUCCUACGCAGCUGAAGUUGUUCUUCUGCUCCCACUGCAUCUCCAAGAACAGACCAAGGAAUUCCAGUACCUUCCAUCUCUUCUUCCUCCUCCUCAUCUCUAUAGACCACUAAUGCACAAUCAUCUCCAUUCUCAUGCAGAAAUCCUUGAACUUCAGUUGUUUCAUUAGACAAAAGAACAUCAUUGAUCUUUUUUGACUUGAUUUUUUCUCUCCUAUUAAGCAGCUUGGAGUUGAAUUGAAUGUAGACUAAUUUGUUGAGACGUGUUGUAGUAAGCCUAUUUCUCCUCUUAGUGUGUAUCUAUAAAACAAGAACAAGUUAAGGUCUGCAAUUUAAUUGAAAAACUCCUGAAAUGCUUAGCUACUUACCGCUUCAAAACCGCUCCAGUUUCUUUCACAGCCAGAUGCACUUGAUGUUAAAGAAAGGAUCCUUGUUGCCAUCUUUUGUAAGGCUGGUACUUCAGUUCCAUACAGGCGCCACCAUGAUGCUGCAAUGAAUGAAAACAAAAAUUUUAGUUAGUAGCUACAAUAACUUUUGGGCUGAAAACAACAAACAUUGAGAUGGCUGAGAUCACCAUAAAUAAAACCUGGAUUGUAAUCAAAAUUUUGGAAAGUCCUUGCAAGCUUCUUGUUAAAUGGUCCUUCCCUAUUCUGAAACUUUCUUAGUUCAACAUGAGCAGCCUGAUCUUGCUUAUCCUCAUCAUGAUAAUAAAAGGUCUCCACACAACUAAUGAAUCCUUCUGUUAUUGUGGGCUCAUCAAAGAUUGAUGGAUUAGCAUAGCUAUAGUGUGGAUUUAGCAAAUAAGCUGUCAAAUGCAAUGGUGAAUCAAGUCUCCCCUUCAUCUUCUUGUCAACAACAGCAAUUACCUCCUUGAACCGAGACUCAAUAUUUCCUAAGGCCUCCUUCACCUCUCUCUUGGCCUUUAGUAUUUCUCCAUAAAUGAAACCCAUGGAUGGUUUUACAUCCCCAUCAACCAAACGGAGAACUCUAAACAAUGGCUCAAAAACACUCACUGUUUGCUUCACAUCCUUCCAGAAGGUAGGAUUCAAUAUAAUUGCUGUGGCAUCUUUUCCUUUCUUCGAUUUCACAUCUCUCAGUGAGUCCCACCUACUAUGAACCACCAUCUUUCUUAGCUGAUCCUUCUUCUCUAGUAUGCUACUCAAAGUGAGAAAGGUUGAAGCAAACCUAGUCACUCCUGGCCUUACUAUUUCUUUUCCCUCAGUGAAGUGUCUCAUGCAUUCCAAUGUUCUAGUGUGCCCAUACACAAAUAUGGUGAAUGCCUUUGCUUGCUCAAUUACCUUCUUGAACCGAGCAAGAUUGCCAAUUCCUUGGAGCAUCAGAUUAAUUGUGUGAGUUGCACAUGAGGUCCAAAAUAUAUUUGGUCUCUUCUCAAACAAUAGCUUCUUUGCUCCCAUGUUGUUAGAGGCAUUAUCUGUUACUACUUGCACAACAUUUUCUGGACCAAUGUCUUCUAUUGCUUUGUCCACUAGUUCAAAUAUUACCUCACUUGUGUGUGACACAUCUGACAUCUCUUUUGAGCUGAUAAAGCUUGUUCCAUCAGCAGAAUUUGUGCACAGGUUCAUUAUGCUUCUCCUCUUCCUAUCUGUCCAGGCAUCAGUCAUAAUGGAGCACCCAUUCUUCAUCUUCUCGGCUUCACGUUCUUGCAGUAAGCUCUUGGUUCUUGCAUACUCUUCUUCCAGCAAUUUCUCUCGUAAAGAAUCCUGAGUAGGAGGUUCAAGUCCAGGUCCAAACUGGCCAAUGGCUUCACACAUCUGCUUGAACUCAUCAUUGUCACAUGAAUUGAAUGAAAUUCCUGCCAACAGCCAAAGUAUAGAAUAAUUAGUACUCAAACAUUCUGAAAUGUAAGUACAGAAUCAUAGAUUAGUGAAUUACCAUGUGUAUACACCCAUCUUGCAAUAAAUUUGUGCACCUCAUGUGUUCUUUCUUUCCACAAUUCCUUGUUCAAUCUCUGUUGCUGCAAAGACUCACUUUUAGUUGCUUUAGGAUCAAUAGCCUUUGUCCAUUUGUCAAUGGGCCCUAACUUAUGAGGCUCUGAACUGCCAACACAGGUGACCUCCUCUGACUCUGAUCCAACACGUGAUACAUUCACUUCCUCUCUAAUUUGUAACUCACGAACCACCUUCUCUGCCCUCUUCCUUUUUGCACCUUCUAGUGAUUUCUGACACUUUUCUUUAGCUUCAUCUGUGCACUUUGGGCAUUUCGUCGUAUUCUUUCCAUCAUGGGCCACAUGCUGCUUCAACCGAUAAAUCCCCCCACUCAUCUCCUUGUUACAGAACUUGCACUUGACCUUGUCCUUGUUGUUAGGAUCAACAAGAAAUCCAUACUCCCAGCCCACAUCAUCGGAAUUUCUUUUCAGGAGAUUUACUCCCUCAGCCCCAGGUGUAGGUGCAGCAUCACUUCCUGUUGUUGACAUCCUAUUCCUAGCUAUAGAUCAACAAGCAAGUUCACUCAGAUUUAGCCACAGAAACACAGAACAAUAAGCAAGUUCACUCAGAUUUAGCCACAAUACACAGAAUAAUAAAGCAGCAAGCAGCAAGAAAACAGGGCAUCACAUGCAGGCAAUACAUACACAUCCAUGCAUUCAGCUGUUCAGAGAAGACAUACACAAUAGGCAUACAUUUUACAUUCAGAUCUAGUCAUUCAGAGCAGAGAACAUAGAACAGGGCAUCAGGCUCUCAGGCAAUACAAACAUGCAGGGGAGGGGAGUAGCGAGCAAGAGCAAGAGAGCGAACAGGGGAGGGGAGGGACUCACCUUGGGGCCUGACAGCGGCGACGGUAGGGAGGAUGUGCGCGACUGCGAAGAGCUCCAGGCGGGGAUGAGCAAGACCGGCGGCCAGGGACGAGCUCCAGGCGAGGUAGCAGAUUCGUGCCUUCGUGGAGUCACGGGGACGAGCUCCAGGCGGGGUCGCGGUCACGCGGACGAGCUCCGGCGGGAGGAGCACGACCGUCGGGGAGAGUCGAGACCGAGAGCAGCGACGGCGGGAAGGACCAAAUGACGAGCGGGAAGGGCGUCCGCUCCUCUUAUCCUCCCGCGAUUUUGGCGCGGGCGAAGCCAGCUGCACGCGCGCGCAAGCGGGAAGCGUUCGCGCGCCCGCCCGCGGCGGAAAUUUCCGCGCGCUCCCGACGUUCGUCCGCCUCGGCGUCGCCUAAUCGCGUCUGCGCCCGCCUCGGCGACGCUUACCAGCGCCUAGUCGCUCCUCCGCGCCGCCUAGCGCCUACACGCCGCCUAAGGCCGUAGUCGAGGCGGUCACCCCCCGACUACCGCUUAAUCGCGCCUAGGCGGCGCCUAAUCGGCGCCUAGCGGAACCUUGAAAAAAACAUCUAUCUUUCACUUUAUUUACCUCAUAUGAAUCAUACUUUCGUGUCCAGGUCCAUCUUUUUGAUAAGAAUGUGAGAUAGAUUAUGGAACAAUCAGUUUACCACAACAUUUGAAUUAGUUUGAGUAUUAUUGUGAUUUACUAACUAAUUAUUUCUUUUUAAAAACUUCAUGCUACAUAUUCCGGAUGUGGUACAUGCUGCAAGGGAUGCUUGGCUGGAGGAAUGGUGCCUCCAGAUGUCUGAGAUGCAUCUCUGUACCUGGUAAGGUACCUGAAGAAGCGCACUUGGUAGAUCCAAACUGCUGUUGGGUAUGUUUUAUUCCCUUGAACACUAGGCAAAAAGUAAUUCAUGGGAUGAUAUCUUGGUCUGUAGAUUGCUCAGGAGUUCCCAGUUUUAAUUUACGUAGAGGUAGAGCUGCUGAUCAACCAACCUGCAUAUUAGUACGUAGGAACCAAUAUAUACAGCAGAAAUUAGUUUGGGUAGACAGUUGUUUUCGUUCAAUUGCACGAAUCGCAGAUUGAGUUAAUAUCAAUCUUUUGUGGUAUAUAUAACACAAUGAUUUAUAAAUAAAGAAAAUAGAUGUUUGAGAGAAAAAAAAAGAAAAUAGAUCCCAGUAAGAGCAUCUCCAAGAGUACCCAAAACACUCUCCUAAUCCUUUACUUUUUAGCAAAGAUUGAAAAAAUACAUCUCCAACAACUCCUAAAUCCAACUCCUAAUUUUUGGCAAUUGGUAAAAAACAUGUCCGCGCGCGUAAAGUUACGCGCAAGAAGCUCACGUGUAGGCUAUCCUCCUCUCGAGUCUUCUUCGGCCUCGCGCGCAUGGUCACUACAGGUACAUCGGUUGACAUGCUUGGAUCCUGCGGCGAGCCGCCGGCGAUCUACUCUGCCUCCUCGACAUGCGCAGCCGCACCGUUGAUCUCCAACCUGGCCAUGGCGAGUCACUCGACCUGCUGUCGCCGCUCUGCCUCAGCUUCGACGCGACGCGUCCACGGUGGAAGGCGCCUGGAGAUUUGUUAGCGUCGAGCCGCACUUCUACGACGGCCUCCGCGUCACUGACGCGCUCAUCAUGGAGGUCAUCAAGAUGGUGCUCGCCGGGAAGGUCAACAAGAACCUCGUCUCAUUAACAUUGCGGGAGGAGCUGCCAUCGGCCUUUGCGUCAAGCAGACGUGCCUCAUCGAUCCUCUUUGUUUGGUUUUGUACAUGAUUGUUUCUUUUCUGUUUUUAUAUAUGUGCUUGUUUGUAGGAAGAAGAUGCUGAUGUCUACAAAAAUGCCAGAUUGCUUGGAAAGUUUGAUGUGGGCCUAUUUUUUUUUUAAUAUUUUAGGAGUUACUUUUUAGAAACUGUUGGAGAAGCUCCUCUUUAUUACUUCCAAUAAUUUUUUAGCACUUGGAAAACUUAAUGAUUUUAGAAAGAAUUUUUUUAGGUACUCUUGGAGAUGCUCUAAGGAGACUGUACAUCCUUCUCUUGCGCAAAAUAAGUUGUACCAUUGGAUUUUUUGAUGUUACAAACAUUUCAAACCGCAAGUCAGGCAGCAUCAUGCCUGGUUCUCAGCGGCUGCAGUGAUUUUCUGUGUGACAAAUACCAUUUUGAGUUUUAGAACAUACAAAGUUAUUCUUUACAAGUUAUUUAUAACCUCAUGGGGAGAAAUACACGUUCUGAAGAAGAGAUCUAAAUUCUUUGUAUACCUCACUGUCACUGCUUAUCUCUCGUUAUUAAUACCCUCUUCCACACCUUGCCAUCUCCUCAAAGCUUAGAGAGAAGGGGAGCAACAAGGAGGUAUCAUAAAUUGGUGCUCGUAAACAUGGAUAUGUUCUGGACUCUAGAAGUUCAAGGCUUGUCAAUAUAAUGCAAAUCAUGUUAUAGGUUGUGUAAAUACUGAGCCUUUGUAAACCUUCUGUAGAUAAAUGCAUAUAUAGAAUGCUGUAACAAAUGUUUAUGCGCUGGAAUUUGUUUAACUUAAAAAUUCAGUCAUACGCUCAUACUAUUACUGAAUGGGCAAAGAUAUUAGUGAAUCAAUCUUGCAUUGUGUGAUACUUCCUGAGUAUUCUAUCAACGUAAACAUUACCUUUUAGUUGUAGAAAAUGAGGAUGAAAUUGACAUGCACAAUCAUGGUAUUAUCAUGAAAAUUCAGAUCAGAUCACACAGUUGCACCUACAAAGAUCAAUACAAAGUACGGCUAAAAUGUGCACCCAUAGGUUCUACGAAGACCAGGUCUCUCUGAUUUCUCGCACAGGACCCACAAGCUUGACCACCGAUCAAGCUAACUACGAAUACGGUUUGCUAUUAAUAAUUAGAGUAAUUUAGACCUGAAUCGAAAAAAAAAGAGUAAUUCAGACCUAGAUCUCCGUGGACGUGAAUUCAUGCCCGUCGUGCACCGCCUGCUUACAGCUCCUCAUCUUCAUGUUGUGGUUAAAGGUGGCAAUGGGUAAUUACCCACCGGGUUAUGGCUGCCCAUACCCUUAACUACGAGAAAAUAUUUUAUCCACUAAUUUAUCCAUAUCCAUGCACGGGUAACACUAGUACAAAAAUCGUUUUUGCUGGCACGUUUUUUUUUUCACUGGCGGUUCACAAUAUCAUGGCGCUAGUAGAAAAAUUUUCAGAGGGCCCAACAAGAAAACUGCCUGUGUAAACACGUUUACACAGACGUUCUUCUUAACUACACCGCUUGUGUAAACUUCACAUUUACACAGGCGGCUUACAAUACAAACCGCCUGUGUAAAUACCAUUAACACAGGCGGCAGAAUUACGACAACCGCCUGUGUAAAUGUGUCUGUUUACACAGGCGGUUUGUAUAGAGGACCGUCUGUGCUAAUGUAUUUACACAGGCGGCCCUCUUUAUGAGCCGCCUGUGCUAAGUCUGCUAUAAAUACCCUCCGUCCACUUCCAAACAAGAACAGUUACUCCCGUGAGCUCACGGACCAGGCGGACCAGACGAUUCCAGUUUCUAAGGGGGAGGUUUUGAUCCUCAUUUCUUUGGUGAGAAACUUCCAAAAGGUUAGUUGGAGCCCUUGAUGCUAUUUUUUUAAUGAUUCUUUGGUUCAAUUCUUGUAUUGGAGGUGCUCUAGAUCUAGAGUUCAUGAAGCAUUCUUGCUUAGGGUUAGGGUUCAUAGGGCAAGAGAGAGAGUUUUAGCUAAAUUUUUAUGUAAAUUCAUAGUAAAUUGUAGAAAUUAAAAAAAUAGAAAAUAAAUACUUUUUAGAAUUCUUGUGAGUAGAUCUAUAUAAUAGAGUAAUGAUGAGGACAUUUUGAAGUUUAUAAUUUUGAUUCAGUUUUAACUUUUCUUUUUUCAGAUGAAUUAGACUUUAUAAACUCAAACAUUAAAAUGUUGAAAAUCAUAAAAUGGCAAAUAAAUACUUUUUCAAAUCUUUGUGCAUAAAUACUUCAUAGAAAUCCUUGAAUUAUUCCUAAAUUUUAUACAAUUAUUUCUUAUAUUUAUGAAAAUGAGCUUCAACAAUUAUUUAAAUUCCAUAAAUUGUAAACUCUGUAAGGGGUAGGUUUUCAUCUUUGUUUAGUAGAAGGAGGUUAGUAUCUUAGUUAAAUCUGUUUUCGAGAGUUAUAUUAGUUUUGUUUUUAGAUUGACCUACAUUAAUUGUUCUUAACUAAUUACAGCUAAAUAUGGAGAGGUCAUUAUGGAUGUACAACUUAUCAAGAUUGGACCCAUCAUAUGUAGUGGAGGUCCAAAAAUUUAUUGAUGUUGCAAAGAUACAUGCUCGCAGAACAAAGGCGAAGCACAUAUGUUGUCCAUGCGCAGACUGCAAAAAUAUUGUGGUAUUUGACAAUGUAGAAGCAAUUACUUCCCAUCUGGUUUGUAGAGGAUUUAUGGAGGACUACUUGAUUUGGACAAAACAUGGUGAGGGUAGUUCUGCACCUUAUAUGCGGACAACAGACAACACUGCAACUAACAUCAAUGUGGAGGAUCAAAUGCCACCUCUCAAUGAAUUUCAUGCUAUGCCAGAUGUCAAUGAAACUCAUACGUCUGAUGUCAAUGAAACUCAGCAUGCUAACACAGAUGCUGUUGAAGAUGCAGAUUUCUUAGAGGCAAUAAUGAACCGUUGUGCAGAUCCAUCAAUAUUCUUCAUGAAGGGAAUGGAAGCAUUAAAGAAGGCAGCAGAGGACACUUUGUACGACGAGUCCAAUGGUUGUACCAAAGAGUGGUCGACAUUACGUGCUGUUCUUCAGUUUUUGACGAUGAAGGCUAGACAUGGUUGGUCCGAUGCUAGCUUCAAUGAUUUCUUGCGUGUACUUGGAGACCUUCUUCCUAAGGAGAACAAAGUGCCUGCUAACACAUACUAUGCAAAGAAGCUAGUCAGUCCACUUACGAUAGGUGUUGAGAAGAUCCACGCAUGUAGAAAUCAUUGUAUUCUAUAUCGGGGUGAUCAAUUUAAAGACUUAGAUAGUUGUCCAAACUGUGGUGUCAGUAGAUACAAGACAAACAAAGAUUAUCGGGAGGAAGAGAAUCUAGCCUCUGUUUCUACAGGGAGGAAGCGAAAGAAGACCCAAACAAAGACUCAACAAGACAAACGCUCGAAGCCUAGUAGCAAUGAAGAAGUGGACUAUUAUGCAUUGAGAAGAAUUCCUGCUUUGGUGAUAUGGUAUCUCCCCGUGGUUGAUCGUUUGAGGUGUUUGUUUGCAAACCCUGAAGACGCUGAACUUAUGACUUGACAUGCUUUGGAUGAAAGAAAAGAUGAUGGAAAGUUACGACAUCCAGCCGAUGCAAAGCAAUGGAAAGAUUUCGAUAAGAAAUAUCCAGAGUUUGCUGACGAUCCACGGAAUGUAAGGUUUGCACUGAGUAUUGAUGGAAUGAAUCCAUUUGGCGAAAGGAGCAGCACGCACAGCACAUGGCCGGUAAUCCUGACAAUAUACAACCUGUGAAGAUGCCUUUUGCACCGCCUGUAAAAAUAUUUUCUGUAGUAGUAUAAGAAUUCUUUCCCAUACCCUUACCCAUGCGGAUAACGGGUACCUAUGGGUUAUCCUUACCCAUGGAUCUAAGAAUGUUUGUAAUAUCAACAUUACAUGUGUCAAUAUAUCACACUCCCAAUUUCAUCCAAAAAAUCAUAAAUUAAUAACAAAUUAAUCAAACAAACUAGUCACAAAAACACAUGAUCAAAUAGUCUGAUAUAAAAUUUGUCGUUUGAAGUCACGAGAAAUGAGGGCAGCAGCGUCCGGAGUCGUGGCAACUCGCGGUCGUGGUCUCGACGGCAAAGCGGGGAGCGCAGGAGGGGAGGGAGAAAGUGGGAUAGGGAGGUGAAAACCUAAGGUUGCGUUAUAUACACUUUUACUGAGCUUGGGCUGUGUGGUGGUAAUUUUGACCCAUGAUUCAUAGAGUUAGGUCGGGUUUAAUUUACCCAUGGAUUAAAGGGUAUGGGCAAUACAGCCUCAUACUCUUACCCGCUUUACCCGCUGGGUAAGACUUUUGUCCCAUUUACUUACCCAUGGGUGGAAAAUUUAGCCAUACCCUUGCCCUAAUCGGGUUUUUACCCAUCGGGUUUCGGGUAGAAAUUGCCAUCUUUAGUUGUGGUGGUCGUCGUCCCCGUCUGCCGCUUCCGCUUCCGCAUAGGCGGAUACAGAGGCUAUUCCUGGUAUUUCCAGAAAUACCCAACUUUUUUAUGCAUUAAGUUUCUCUCUCAUUUUUAUAUAUCCUUAUAUUCUUUUUUUCCACAUAGGUUCUAUAUUACUUCGAUUGUCAAAAUUAUUCUAUUUUAUUAUUUCUGCAAAUUAGAAUCUAAUUAUUAUUUCUAGAACACAUACACAUUGACUCAUGCCGCCAAAUAUCGGUCAAAUCAUAUCUUGCUUCCAAAUUCUUUUCCAAGCUAAAUCAGAAUAUACACAUAGCAACAUGUACAAUAAAAUAUUUUUUCGUGUGAGUGAACGAGACAUGAGUGAGAGGCAAUUCUAUAAUCCCCAUUUUUAAAUCUCUAACUCUAAUCGGCAUGACGUGGUGACGGCAUUAUUGUUGGUUGCCAGUGUUCGGCGCUCCUAGCGGCGUAGGGCGUGCAGCACGCUGCAUCUACCCUACGCCUACAUGGUGACUGGCGAGAGCGCACGUCGGUCAUGAGGUUAGAGAUAACAAUUGAGCGUGCGGCCCACCAGACACCCGUAAGAGAAUACCUAAUGUUUAAAUUCUGGCUCCGCCACUGCGCUUCCGGCAGCCGCCCAUAUAGGUAGGUGGCAAUGGUGGUGGUUGCCUCCCCAGCUGGAUACUUUUUGCACGCGUGGACGUAAAACGCGAGGACGAACACCGUCAUGAGGACCAUGCACCAUCCGAACUGCAGGUUGACGACAGCCACGGCGUGGUGCAGGCUGUCGUCGCCGUGGCAGCGCAGGUUGACGCCGCCGCCGUCGUCGUCGAGGGAGCAACCCUUGGGAGCCAUCCCUGCUGGGAUCCACGCGAUGACGACGCCCCACAGACCCUGGAACGCGAGGGACGCGGACCGGACGAGGCUCACCGCUAACUGAAGCUCCGCGGGAAGCCGGCCGGCGCCGAGGAGCGCGCGCGGUGGCGAGGCAGACGGCGGCAGCGGCCUGCAGGAACCAGUGGAGCCGGCCCUCGACGCCGGCCGGCGUGGUCGGUGGAGUGGACGUGGAACACGAACAGCUCCUGCGCGUAGUCCGCCGCCAGGAGGAGCAUGCAGAGCGUCGAUGUGGCGGUGGCGGUGGCGGGCGUGGUGGCGGUCGAGGUACAUGGCGGAGCCGGCGUAGAUGAGCAGCGAGGCGUAGAUGAUGGCGUGCUCGUGGUUGGGCAUGCGUUCUGGCGGGAUGGAGCCGUCGGCGGCGUCGAACGGCAUCGGCGAGUAGGCCAGCAUCUGGGUGACGAACCCGUAGACGUACGCCGCCGGCGAGCGUGACGAUGAGCUCGAGGUGCCGGACCCGUGGCGCCGGGAACCACGGCGGCGCGACGUACGAUGAAGACGGUGGUGAUGUCGGGGCAAGGUAGACGAUCGAAGAGCCUGAUGUGGUUGAAGAGAUGCCACAGGCCGAGGCCUGACAGCAUCACCCCUGCCAGGACGUGGCUGAUGAUUUUAUCCAUGACGCCGCGGCCCGCGGGGCACGGGCAGCAUCAUAUAUAUCUCAGUUCCAGCUGCUUGUGGCCGGUUAGCUGAUAGUAAUUUCUCUGUUCGCAUGCUUAGUUGGUUAGGGGCAGCAGAGAGCGCAGAUGCAUGUAGGAGUAAUAGAUAGACUAAAGUGACUAAUGUUUUUUUCCAUGAAUACACAAAAAGAUUUAUGCAUCUUUAUGUUAUAAGAUCGACGUGCCACGAACAUGGCACACUAGGGGAUCAUGGGCUAUUUCGCUACCUAGCCAGCAUCGGUGGCUGAUUUGUGCGGUGCCUCGCCUGCUCUUCUUGUGAGUUAGGGAAGAGUUAUCAUAUUGCCUCAGUUAUGGAAGGCUUUGUCUGUCAGUCGAGCAAAAACUCAGGCCCCCUUUGGAACGAGGGGGAAACACAGGAAAAGUGAAGGAUAGGAAUUUCACAGGAUUUUUUCCUAUCCUGUCCUUUGGUUCACACGAAGAGCAAAGGAAAACUUCCGGAGGAUGGCAUUCCUACGCUCGAUUCCGGAGGAAAACGAGCAUGAGCUCAGAGCUCAUGGAAAGAAUCCUGGCGCGAAAAGAAAAUGACUCGCGCGCACCUGCGGACCUGCCAUGCUGUUCGGCGCUAAGCACGGGCGAGCGCCACCGCCGCGCGCGGGCCUCGCAGCUGUCGUGGGCGGCCCCUGCAUCGACGGAGGACGACGACCGGAGUCCAUAGCGACGCGGAGGCGGAGGCUGGAGCGGCGGCCGGCGGAGGAUGUGAGGCGGCGCGGAGCCCUCGAUGUUGGCGAGGCCGGCGCGGUGCGAGGCAACGGCGGAGGCUCGGAGCCCCGGCGCGGCCAGGCUACCCUUCGCUGCCGCGCGUGGGGAGAAAAAGCGGGCGCCGAGUGAGAGAGAUAGAGAGCCGCGCGGUGGGGCGGCGCCGUACGCCCGCGGCCGGGCCUGCCCAGUAGCGGCGAGAGAGAGAGAGCCGAGGGGAUGCUCAGCAAGCAGCGCACGAGGUCGCGCGGCGGGAGGCACAGCUGGCCGAGAUCUGGCUGCGGAUUCGGCAGCACCGGGAGCGGACGCGCCGCGUGGCCGCCGGUGGGGAGAGCUGCGGGGUGGGGGCGCGGAUGGGGAGCGUCGCCGUCAGCCUCGGGCGCGCGCAGGUGGAGAGAGGUGGGGGGCGGAUGGGGGCGCCGCCGUCGGCCUUCCGGCCUCUCCCAGUAGAGAGCCGCGAGGGACGCGGAGGAUUUCGAACGCGGAUUGACGGGUGGGUGGGUGGGACCGUGGGAGUGUACCACUCAUUUCUGCAUUUUUUUUAUUAAUCCUGAGGGAUCGAGGGACCUGCCGCCAAAGGGUUUUUCUGCCUGCACUGUUCCGGUAGGAAUCAACAAGUCGCGCACUUGCAUUCCUACGAUUUUCCUUUUCCUAUCCUCCGCCUACAGUACAAUCCAAAGGGGGCCUCAGUCGAGCAAAAUCUCAUCCGCUUCAUCAUCAGCAACUUUCCCCGCUAAAAAGCUGAAACACAACUAAAGUGGCCAUGGCAAUGCAGAGGAGAGGAAAAGAGUUGCUUGCAUGGCUUGUUCUUCUCCUUACAAAGUCAGAUGUGAAGGUACGUUUAGGCAAUACUAUAUUAUUAUCUCAAAAAAAGUACAAUUCUAGAAAUAUCUAGAUUAAAGUGUCUAAAGCUUGAUUAAAUAUAUAGAUAAAUCUCAUGACAAAUUUGAUGAUACUUAUUUCAUAUCCUAGCUAUUCAUAUUUUUAUAUAUAGUUAGUUAAUUUGAGAUACUUUAACUUAUUACUAUGGGUAAAUUACAUUGUUUCGUGGAUGAGGAAGUAGACAUCAAGAAAGCUCAAAUGAAGUAGCUGAGGUUCGAUCGUUUACACGCAACGAACGCAACUAUAUACCACCCUACACGUGUUAUAACCUCAAUUAAUUAACUGCGGUCGUUUACACGGAACGAACUCAAACUAUACCACAGACACGCGUUAUUGUUAUCUGAUCCUCGGCCAGUGCACGCAAGGGCCAAGUCAAAAAGUAUCACGAUCGUCCUUUGAAUUGAUGCCGACUAGUCUAUGUCACUGUAUAUAUGUUUGCCAGCUUCCCGACGAUUUUGUCUUGGUGAACUUCAGGCCUUGUUUAGUUACCAAAAAUUUUGUAAAAUUUUUCAGAUUCUUUAUCACAUCGAAUCUUACGGUACUUAUAUAGAGCAUUAAAUAUAGAUAAAAUAAAUAACUAUUAUACAGUUUACCUGUAAUUUACAAGACGAAUUUUUUGAGCCUAGUUAGUCUAUGAUUGGACAAUAUUUGUCAAAUACAAACAAAAAAGCUAUAAUAUCCAUUUUGUAAAAAAAAAACUAAACAACGCCACUGUCCAUCACAUCGUUAAUUAUACACUCUUAUUACUCCUUCCGAAAGAAUAUAACUCUAGCAAUGUCACGUUUUAGUAACUUAUAAGUUUAACCAAUUAUAAAUAAAAAAAUAUCAAUAUUUAUGAUACUAAAUAAAUAACAUUAGAUUAAUUAUGAUGUAUUUCAUGUUAAAUUAAUUUGAAGCCAUAAUUAUAAAUAUCGUUCACUAGAAACCUGGUCAUACAUGAACUACUCUACAUGGCACGUAACUCAUAGUUGUAUUUUUUUUGGAACGGAUAUAGUAUUGCAUUGUAACGGCACUACUACGUACUACCGUACCUAUCAAGGUCGUGAAGAGAGAUGGGCAGAGGAUAGUUAGGAUUCAUUUGAUAGCUCUAACUUUAGACAAAACGGUUUCAGCGGUAGGUUCUAUGGUGAAAUAGCUCUAUUUAGCUUCGGUUUAUCUGGGUGAAAAAAAAUUAGUAAAACAUCUUCUUCUAGUGUUGAUACGGAAUUUUUAAGAUAUUAUUUUAGAAAUGCAAAUUUAAAAAGUAUGUAUAGUAUAUAAUUGAAACUUGCUCAAAUCAUAUAUAAGACAAUAUUCAUUAGAUGUCUAUAUCUACAUGUUAUGAUACAGGUACAUUUGCGGGUGGUCUGUAUGGUAAGAAACGUGCUUUAAGUAGAAAAAAGAAAAGAACACUCGUGCAUUGUGCAAGAGAGGCAGAUGAGCCCAGGAGCUUGGGGCUUGUCGGGCUCAUGGGCUUGCUCCAUGACCCAAGGCUUAAAUGGUUGUGCCUCAGGGGCACCGGCGGACACAACACGACCCGCUAAGCCAACUGUGUCUUGAUGGACUGAUGCUUAACAAGGGUUAUAAUACCGUUAUAUACACAUAUCAUAAUUCAGGUUUUACAAUGUUUAACCAAUAAUUUUGUCCACAACCAGGGGUGGAGUCAGGAUUUAGCUAUGAGAGGAAGGGAGGGUAGUUCACCGAGUGCAAAAAACAGAGAGUUGCUAUAUUUUAGGUGCUUGUAUUUUUUUGAUAAAUUUCAGACAAUAAUCUUAUAUAAUAAACUAAUACAAUUAAAUGAUAACUUGACAAUUUAUACUUUUUUCUAUAGUCACAACAACAAAUUGCUUAUUGCCUAAACAACAACAACAACAAAAUCAGGUACUUGAAAUAUUAAAGAAGUGAAAAAAUCACGAGCUGAUCAUAGACCAGCUGGGUGGGUUCUUUGUGAUGGAAUGGAACUUGAACGUCUGCGUCUGUAACUGGGUCUCACAAAAAAGAGGAGAACUAAAAAAAUCAAGACACCAGUGGCCGACAUUGAUGUUUGUUUAAAAAAGUUAUUUUAUUUUUUCUAUAUAUUUUUUUAUAUACAAGACUUUUAUUAUGUAUCUAGAUAUAAUAUAUAUAUAUAUAGUAUAUCUAGGUGAAGCAAAAGCUAUGUAACUAGAAAAGCCGAAAAGAUGUAUAAUUUUGAAUAGUGAGCUGUAUAAAUCAUCUUUAAUAUCUUGCUUUUUUUCAUCUGGAACAAGUUCUAAUUGUCUAAAUUGAAGAUAAAAAAGGAAUUUGUUCAUAAAGCCAACGGUUCACUUUGUAUAUAUUAUCUACCUACAUAGAAUUAUAUACUCAGGGGAUAUAACUUGAGGAAAACACAAUAACGAGAUGUAUUAUAUUUCUAGCUGAACUUUUAUUAUCUUAGUUGAGGAUACUUUUUACCUAUAAUCUCUAGGAUUAGUACAACUAAUCAGUAGUAUUGAUAGAUGCUAUGCAAUAACAACUACUAUAAUACUACCUAUGAUCCAUUUUAUCUGGUGCACACGCAUAUCAAGAUUCAAGUUUUAAAAACUUUGACUAAUAAUUAGGCUAAUAAUUUUUAACUAUUAUAAUACAAAGUUUUUAUGAUUAGAUUUAUAAGGAAACAUACUAUAUAAUGAUAAUAAGUUUAUAAGCACAAAUAAUAUAAUAUAAAUCAAAUAAAUGAGGAGACUGUACCAUUCUAACUUGCGCUAGAUAAAAUGGACUAGAGGGAGUAUAAUUUUGAUACUUUUAUAUCUGUAAUCAAAUGUACUAUACAAUAAUUAUAAGUUGACAAUCAUAAAUAACAUAAUAAAAUAGAUGAAUAAUCAAAGUGAAAUUUGUGAGGCCAUGUGUUGCUAAAUAUCGUCUUACAAACUGGACCGAAGGAGUGCUAGAUAACCACGCAACAAAGAUGUACACAACACUACAACACAUGAACAGUGUUCUACCGUCCUAUCCUAAUCUCCCGUGGGGAAGACAUAUUAAUUAAAUUAAAUAAAUAUGAAAUCAAGAAGAAGAAUAAAAGAAAAAAAUGAGAAAAAGAAAAGAAAUACGAAAAAAAAAUACUCAACCCAAACGUCUUGUAAUUUGGGUUUGAGGGUGCAGUGGCCUUGUUUAGUUUCCAAAAAUUUUUGAGAUUCCCCGUCACAUCGAAUCUUGCGGCACAUGCAUAAAGCAUUAAAUAUAGAUAGACGAAAAUAAAAACUAAUUACGCAGUUUACCUGUAAAUCGCGAGACGAAUCUUUUGAUCCUAGUUAGUCUAUAAUUGGAUAAUAUUUGCCACAAACAAACGAAAGUGCUACAGUAGCGAAAUCCAAAAAUUUUCUCAAACUAAACAAGGCCUAAGUUGCAACAGAAAUUCGCGACGAACCACGAACGGCCCAGCCCAGAAGGCCCGUGCGGGUGCGCUCGCUAGGCCGAACAAGUCCGGACUGGGCUACAGCCGCCCGCUGCAUCCUUCCACUUCACGACGCGUGCGCGCGUUCUUCCCUUCUCUCUCUGCGCCGCCCGCCGCUCGCCGCCGCCGCCCUACGCCAGUUGCCGUCGCGGAGGCCCUUCGUCAGUCUCUUCGCCGGCGACGAGCACCGGGUAUUCCCACUCCUUCUCUUCCCUUCCACGCAGUGCGAAACCGAGCUCUCAAACCCUAACCUAAUUGCUGGUUACGCCGCUGGUACGUUCGAUUAGUACCAUACGGGCGAAUUAAUUAGAAACAGACGAGUUUAUUAAGCGAGAUCCGGCCCGCUCCAUUGCCUCCACGGGCAGAUACACGGCUGUCAGCUGCGAAAGAUGCCUCAGUGCACACAAAAAAAGAGGCCACCGAGCCCACCGUUGACCCUCUGCGGCCACGGACGAACAAUAUGCAGUGAAAAGAUCUUCUCCGAGAGUGAGAUGCACAGCCGUUAAAAAAAGAGAAAAAAGAAAAAAGAAAAAAAAAAGAUGAAAAAAAGCGCCCAGUGAAAUAGGCGCGAACAUCUCACCCGUGGUGGCAUGUGCUAGACAUUAGCACACUGAGCUUUUUUUU
RNAcentral lists this long non-coding RNA (17603 nucleotides) under Sorghum bicolor (sorghum). RNAcentral describes it as "long non-coding RNA (SBIC_LNC006031)". The record is from RNAcentral. Lineage: Eukaryota; Viridiplantae; Streptophyta; Magnoliopsida; Poales; Poaceae.